RNAcentral lists this long non-coding RNA (1171 nucleotides) under Pongo abelii (Sumatran orangutan). RNAcentral describes it as "lncRNA (ENSPPYG00000036253.1)". Lineage: Eukaryota; Metazoa; Chordata; Mammalia; Primates; Hominidae. The record is from RNAcentral.
UGCAUGCCUGUGGUCCCAGCUACUCAGGAGGCUGAAGUUAGAGGAUCUCUUGAGCCCAGGGGGUCGAGGCUUCAGUAAGCUGUGAUCAUGCCACUUACAAAACUUUUAAACCUAGUCUCAAAAAAACUUAAAAAUUCAAACAUUUUAAAAACUAAGUUUAAAAGUUUUAUAAUGGCUGGGCAUGGUGGCUCACACCUGUAAUCCCAAUACUUUCAGAGGCUGGGGUGGAUCACUUGAGCCCAGGGGUUGGAGGCUUUGAGCCCAGCCACAUCUUUUUCUUUUCUUUUUUUUUUUUUUUGGAAUUAACAGUCUUUACUGGGCUCAGACCAGGAGUCCGUGGGUCUUGAGGACCUCUGUGUGUUUGUCAAUUUUCUUCUCCACGUUCUUAGCCUGUUUCCGUAGCCUCAUGAGCUGUUUCUUCUUCCAGUAGAGGAUCAGGGCCUUUUCCUUCCUUUUCUCCAGGGUAGCUGUCACUGCCUGGUACUUCCAGCCAACCUCGUGCGCCAGGCGCCCCAGACAGGCAAACUUUCUUGUCGGCUUCAGACGCACGACCUUGAGGGCAGCAGGAACCACCAUCCGCUUUUUCUUGUCGUAGGGCAGUGGGAUGCCGUCAAACACCUGGAGGCGGUCCAGGGCGGCCUGGCCCCGCUUGGUCUUGUGGGGCAGCAUGCCUCGCACCGUCCACCAGAAGAUGCAGCUGGGGGUCCGGAAGUGGCAGGGGCCUCGCGAAGGGUUGGUGUUCAUCCGCUUGCAGAGGAAAGCCAGAACAUAAUAAGUAUCUGGAGUCUGUGCCACUGUGAUUUGAACAAGCAAGAACAUGAAGUUACUUCUGUGACCCAAAGGCCUCAUAUUUUCAAAGAUGCUAUAAUUAUAGUCCAGCUGCGUUCUACCCUCAGGAAAGAGUCUUGCAGAUUCCGCAACUGUCAAAUGAGGGGCUUGGGCUACAAUCACUCAGUGUUAUCCUUCUAUGAUUCGUUUUUGUAACCAUCAGUGUGAUUUAAAAGUGUACAUUAAGCAGAUGGACACACACUAAAAAAAAUAUGAACAAUUAUAAAUAAAAAAUGUUAGUAAUUGGUAUCUUUGGGUAACUGAGUCAUAUUUAUAUUUUUUCUUCUUUUUGCUUAAGUAUAUACCUUUUCGUUUUUUUCCUCUCUUUUCUUUCUCAUCUUUA